GAAGAAAAUGAUUCGUUAUCUGCGAUGAGUCCAGCGGUUACGAGUACCAAGGAUCUUCGACUGUUUAAUGAAGAGUGGGAAAAGAGCAGGGUUAGGGGCAGACGAUGAUCUCUCCAUUUUAAUUUUGUUGUUGUUGUUUAUCUCGUUGCUCUCUUCGUUUGUGAUUUUUUUCAGGGUUUCGAUAUCGACUUCUCAAAACUCCGACACAAAUUCGAAACCGGAGCAGUGGAUCUAGACGACGAUGACCUGGUUCUUGACCCUGAUGAUACCAACUUAGCUCUGCUCAACAGGUUGACACAAGCUGGUUCCGGGCCUAGGAGGGGACUAGGGCUGAAGGCCCGAACCCCGCCUGGUUAAACAAAAAAAAAAAAAAAAAAAAGUUUGACGAACUUGGCUGUCUCCUGCUACAAUGACAAGACACGGAUGCAAGGCUGGAGUUAGUCAAAGUGUUGAAAGCAAAUUAUCACCCAUCUGCUGGAGUCACAUACUACAUCACAUUCGAAGCCAAUGAUUGUAAUCAGAAGACUAAACAAUAUCAGGCAGUUGUUCGCCACUUGCCUAGAGAUACUGAAGUUAUCUCUUGCUGCCCUAAACCUUCUUGAAUUUCAGACAAUGGUAUUAUUAAGCCUUGAUUUAUUCUCUCUUGCAAUAAUUUAGCAAAAAAAUAAAAUAAAAUUUUAACUUAUUAAGUUCA
Molecule: long non-coding RNA, 694 nt
Organism: Brassica oleracea var. oleracea
Lineage: Eukaryota; Viridiplantae; Streptophyta; Magnoliopsida; Brassicales; Brassicaceae
Exons: 2
Source: RefSeq, a predicted model, not a curated record